Non-coding RNA from Drosophila melanogaster (fruit fly), 481 nucleotides. The record is from Ensembl. Lineage: Eukaryota; Metazoa; Arthropoda; Insecta; Diptera; Drosophilidae.
CAUCAGUUUUGAGCAGUCAGGAUUGUUUGGAUUUCCAUGAGCCUCCCAGUUUGGAUACGGCUUUAUUGCCGGGCUUGACUCUUUUGGAGGAAAGGGCAGUGUACCUAAGCUAGCAGGCACACCAUUCUUCCAACGAGGAGUUGUCACAAACAGGCGGUUAUUAUGGACAUCAAUGCCUAAAGACAGUAAAUUCAGCGCAGUAGAAUAACACAUAAAGCCAGAUUAUGAUAAUCCUUUAUGUAACAGUCUGUAACAGCCAGAAGGAAGCGUUUCUGACCAUGUUCUAUAUGGUCAUAUACAAUAUUCUUUAUAAGGAUCAAUAGCCAAGUCGAACUGGCCAUGUACGUCGAUCUUUAUUUGCAUUUGCAUUUUCCCUAGCUGUGUAACGGGAUUCUGAUAGUCGGGGAUCUCGACUAUAGCAUUAGAGAUAAUGCUAGGAUUUAUUCAUCAAUAUUAAAGAUAUGGAUGAGACGCACUGAAU